GGUUAAGCGACUAAGCGUACACGGUGGAUGCCCUGGCAGUCAGAGGCGAUGAAGGACGUGCUAAUCUGCGAUAAGCGUCGGUAAGGUGAUAUGAACCGUUAUAACCGGCGAUUUCCGAAUGGGGAAACCCAGUGUGUUUCGACACACUAUCAUUAACUGAAUCCAUAGGUUAAUGAGGCGAACCGGGGGAACUGAAACAUCUAAGUACCCCGAGGAAAAGAAAUCAACCGAGAUUCCCCCAGUAGCGGCGAGCGAACGGGGAGGAGCCCAGAGCCUGAAUCAGUGUGUGUGUUAGUGGAAGCGUCUGGAAAGGCGCGCGAUACAGGGUGACAGCCCCGUACACAAAAAUGCACAUGCUGUGAGCUCGAUGAGUAGGGCGGGACACGUGGUAUCCUGUCUGAAUAUGGGGGGACCAUCCUCCAAGGCUAAAUACUCCUGACUGACCGAUAGUGAACCAGUACCGUGAGGGAAAGGCGAAAAGAACCCCGGCGAGGGGAGUGACCCCGGCGAGGGGAGUG
This 518-nucleotide ribosomal RNA is filed under the name Escherichia coli. Its description in RNAcentral is "partial 23S ribosomal RNA". It matches the Rfam family "Bacterial large subunit ribosomal RNA", at positions 1 to 558 of the family's 2925-position model. Lineage: Bacteria; Pseudomonadati; Pseudomonadota; Gammaproteobacteria; Enterobacterales; Enterobacteriaceae. The record is from RNAcentral.